GUCAGCGGCCACUGUGCAGAUUGUGAAGUUAUAUCAUGAAGUCAUAUCGAGACGUCACAGCCCACAGCGCAGAUUGUGAAGUUAUAUCAUGAAGUCAUAUCGAGACGUCAGAGGCCAUAGUGCAGAUUGUGAAGUUAUAUCAUGAAGUCAUAUCGAGACGUCCGCAGCCACAGUGCAGAUUGUGAAGUUAUAUCAUGAAGUCAUAUCGAGACAUCUGCGGCCACAG
Non-coding RNA from Pelobates cultripes (western spadefoot toad), 226 nucleotides. The record is from the annotation of a GenBank genome assembly. Lineage: Eukaryota; Metazoa; Chordata; Amphibia; Anura; Pelobatidae.